ACUCGCACUCAAGGUACGUAUGGCUCCCUGUACCCAUCCACUAAAGCAGUGCUUUAAACACACAAGCCCUUCCACUGCCUUCAGCAGAUCUACUUGCUGUGUGCUGAGUGCUCUGAGCCUCGGAAAUGGAGGGCGGUGGCCAAGUUCUUGGAGAAGGGCUGACCUCUAUUUCCAGAGCCAUCUGGGGUCUCUCACCGGCUGUUUUCCCCGCAGGUGCUUGAGAUUGCUGAGGGCGUGGUGGGCAAUGUUGGCCCCACUCACAACUUCGAGCCCCCUCACUCUCACUACGAUGCCAUCGAGUGCCUGGCCAUCCCGGGAGACAUCCUCUUCAGCGGCUCCAGGGACAAUGGCAUUAAAAAGUGGGAUCUGGAGCAGCAGGGACUUAUCCAGCGACCUGACACUGAAGCUCUGCAGAGGGAGGAGGUUACCCACUGGCUCCAGCUAGGAACUACAGAACGACUGGAAGAUGUGGCAGCGGGGUGAAGGCUGGGCUACGUCUCCCUUGCUACCAAGACCCCGUCGUCUACGGGAGUUCAGCCCACGGAUGGGAAUUUUUGUGCCUGACCCAACAGCGCUGACCACAUCCAUCUUGCCCCAUCUUUGAGCACUCACAGAUCCCGUGAACAGGCAGCUCCGUGGAGCACCAUCAGCUCCACCUUCCCUCCUGCUGCAGUUUCUCAGUGGUUUUCCAGCGACCAGCAAAGACUGCAUCUCUCUUCUCACCCACCCCGCUCUGCUGCCUGCCGGGUCUGCGAGGGGCUGGAGUCCAGGUGGGCUCCUUCUCAGAGACACACAGUUCCCUCCUGCCACCGUCCGUGGCUUCAUGCAGCCUCUGCCUGGAUCAGCUUCUUCUGUCCCCGCUGCCUCCUGGGUUCGUUCCUGCAGGAGCCUUUCUCCUCAAGGCUAUUGGAAGUCUUCUGGCAGGGACCAGAGGUCGGCUUGUAUUUUUUUUUUUUUUGGAGACAUUAUUGUGGGACAUCCUCUGUGCUGCGGUGGUGUGGGGGAGAUGUAACACCAAGGAGCUCAACAGACUGGUAGAUCUUAUCGCUGUGAGGCCUUGGGAGUCUGGAGACAGGGCUAAAGUGGAAACAGGAUGCUCCUUUCGAGUGUGCAGCUAAUCUUGUCACAUCUGGGACAGUUAAGGAACCCUUUGUUUGUUAUCUAUGUUGUUGGGAAGAACUUAACGCCAAUUAACUGUGAGUGGAUUUACUGCUUACGAGUGGAGGAUAUAUAAGAUGUAUGUUAAACACAAUAAAAAGGGCUUACUAUUCUGAUGCUACA
Molecule: long non-coding RNA, 1281 nt
Filed under: Numida meleagris (helmeted guineafowl)
Lineage: Eukaryota; Metazoa; Chordata; Aves; Galliformes; Numididae
Description: lncRNA (ENSNMEG00000012665.1)
Source: RNAcentral